Oxyura jamaicensis (ruddy duck) is the source of this 1362-nucleotide long non-coding RNA. RefSeq lists it as uncharacterized. Lineage: Eukaryota; Metazoa; Chordata; Aves; Anseriformes; Anatidae. The record is from RefSeq and is a predicted model, not a curated record. The transcript is spliced from 3 exons.
CAGGGCUUCGUUGCCCGCUGUGAUCACUGGCUCGUACUGCAAAGCAGCGUCCAAGCAGGAGGGCGACACGUCAGGACCAUUUGCCAAGACCCCGUCCCUCAGCGUGCUGUUUGUGCAGCCCAGCGUGGAUCCUAUACCAAGCCCACAGUAUAGAUCUCUGGACCAGAAUCCCCCCAGCCCUUUUGGACCACUUUCAUUGAGCAGCGAGAGCAGUCCAGCCCUGCUCAGCCCCAUGCCGUGCCCUGGACCAGCUCUGCCCCCACAAACCAGGCCAGAUUCACCCAUCGGGCAGCAACCCCAAAAGCAGCCGUGACAAAACACGUGCAACUCACCCCAAAAUAUGAGCUGUGCCCGUCGCUCCAGAGCACGGCCAGGUCCGCGUUCUCAAACUCUCCCCGGUCCGACAUCCCGAAGAGGAGCCCGAACUUGAGUUCCCUGCUGAGGAUCUGGAAGUACACCGCUUGCUCGGGGUAGCUGACGUUCCAGGAGAGCUCGAGCAGCCCCUGGGGAUCGAGGGGCACCUUGUAGGGAAAAUAGGUGCCACGGGGCGCCGAGCCCUGCAGGGCAGCCACCAGGAUGACCAGGAACACGGCGAUCAUGGUGAAGUACACGGACGCUACCUCCCGCAUCUUGAAGCUGGGGCAGGGGCACGGCUUGCUGCCGGAGGUCUGCAUGCUGGGCAGGAUGGCAGCCGCCCUCCUGGCUUUUGCCAUUUAUGCUCUGGCCCUCCUGGGCGAGCCGGCCAUUGGCGUCUGGCACGAAGCUGCUUCCUGAAGGUUGCACAGCGAGCCAGCCUCAGCAUCAAGAGGAGCCAACUCAUGAGGCCAAAAGAGCCCGAGGAGCUUGAAGAUGGAGCUUUAGCAGCUUGGCAGAAGGGUCGGUGCAUUGAAUGACAAAGGCUGCGUGUGGGUCUGCCCUGCACACUUGAUGUCUGUAACAGACGAGUCAGCAGAAGGUACGAUGAGGGGUGGUGGAUGAAUAUGAUUGACACCAGAAAACUCAACAUGGCUUUUGUAUGGGGAGCACUUGCCACACUCUUGGCAGCCUUAAAGGGAGUGAAUAAGCUUGAAGGGUGAAUAAGAAAUAAGAGAAACAUGAGGGAGUUUGUGGUGGGCAUCCUGAGCCCUCUGCCUCUCUGCGCCCUUCCUUCACUGGCCCUUGCAGGUGAAGCAAUGGCUGUGGAGGAGCACAUCACAGUGCCAGCCUCGUGUGUCAGGACAUCAGCUGGUGGGUGCGAUGCAGCACCACGUGCCUGCCCCGUGCUGAGGCUGCUGCACCCCCAAGAACCUCGGUAUUUGGUGUUGGGUAUGAGCUGGGGGUGCUCAACGCCACAAGAGUGAAGCAGCUGGCUUGGGGAAGCAG